Molecule: ribosomal RNA, 586 nt
Filed under: uncultured Spiroplasma sp.
Lineage: Bacteria; Bacillati; Mycoplasmatota; Mollicutes; Entomoplasmatales; Spiroplasmataceae
Description: bacterial SSU rRNA
Rfam family: Bacterial small subunit ribosomal RNA
Source: RNAcentral
GAGUUUGAUCCUGGCUCAGUAAGUCGUAACAAGGUAGCCGUAACUCUAGAGUUUGAUCCUGGCUCAGGAUUAACGCUGGCGGCAUGCCUAAUACAUGCAAGUCGAACGGAGUAGCAAUACUUAGUGGCGAACGGGUGAGUAACACGUAUCUAAUCUACCAUUUAGUGGGGAAUAACUGUUGGAAACGACAGCUAAUACCGCAUAAUAUUGCUGGAUAAUUUCCAGUAAUGAAAGGAGCUUUCAAGCUCCGCUGAUUGAUGAGGAUGCGGCGCAUUAGCUAGUUGGUAGGGUAAUGGCCUACCAAGGCAAUGAUGCGUAGCCGAUCUGAGAGGAUGAACGGCCACAUUGGGACUGAGACACGGCCCAAACUUCUACGGAAGGCAGCAGUAGGGAAUUUUUCACAAUGGGCGAAAGCCUGAUGGAGCAAUGCCGCGUGACUGAUGAAGGUCUUCGGAUUGUAAAGGUCUGUUGUAAGGGAAGAAAUGGUAAAACAGGAAAUGGUUUUAUCUAUGACGGUACCUUACCAGAAAGCCACGGCUAACUAUGUGCCAGCAGCCGCGGUAAUACAUAGGUGGCAAGCGUUAUC